UGGCUCUGGCAUCGAUGAAGAACGCAGCGAAAUGCGAUAAGUAAUGUGAAUUGCAGAAUUCAGUGAAUCAUCGAAUCUUUGGACGCACAUUGCGCCCCGUGGUAUUCCGCGGGGCAUGCCUGUUCGAGCGUCAGUACAACCCUCAAGCUCUGCUUGGUCUUGAGCCUCGCCGGCAACGGCGGGCUUUAAAAUCAGUGGCGGCGCCGUCGGGCUCUGAGCGAAGUAACUACACCCGCUACGGAGCCUGGCCGGCUGCUUGCCAGCAACCCCCACUUCUAAGUUUGACCUCGGAUCAGGUAGGGAUACCCGCUGA
This 313-nucleotide unclassified non-coding RNA is filed under the name uncultured fungus. Its description in RNAcentral is "partial contains 5.8S ribosomal RNA and internal transcribed spacer 2". The stretch from base 1 to 133 matches the Rfam family "5.8S ribosomal RNA", at positions 22 to 154 of the family's 154-position model. Lineage: Eukaryota; Fungi. The record is from RNAcentral.